ACUCUGUUUCUAUAUGUAACUUCUGAGUAAAACCAUAAAUAAAUCAAAACUUUCAACAACGGAUCUCUUGGUUCUGGCAUCGAUGAAGAACGCAGCAAAAUGCGAUAAGUAAUGUGAAUUGCAGAAUUCAGUGAAUCAUCGAAUCUUUGAACGCACAUUGCGCCCGCCAGUAUUCUGGCGGGCAUGCCUGUUCGAGCGUCAUUUCAACCCUCAAGCACAGCUUGGUGUUGGGACUCGCGUUAAUUCGCGUUCCUCAAAUUGAUUGGCGGUCACGUCGAGCUUCCAUAGCGUAGUAGUAAAACCCUCGUUACUGGUAAUCGUCGCGGCCACGCCGUUAAACCCCAACUUCUGAAUGUUGACCUCGGAUCAGGUAGGAAUACCCGCUGAACUUAAGCAUAUCAAUAAGCGGAGGAA
RNAcentral lists this ribosomal RNA (414 nucleotides) under Fusarium sp. osu_besc_29a. RNAcentral's name for it is "eukaryotic LSU rRNA". The stretch from base 48 to 201 matches the Rfam family "5.8S ribosomal RNA". Lineage: Eukaryota; Fungi; Ascomycota; Sordariomycetes; Hypocreales; Nectriaceae. The record is from RNAcentral.